GACGAACGCUGGCGGCGUGCUUAACACAUGCAAGUCGAACGAAGAGCGAUGGAAGCUUGCUUCUAUCAAUCUUAGUGGCGAACGGGUGAGUAACGCGUAAUCAACCUGCCCUUCAGAGGGGGACAACAGUUGGAAACGACUGCUAAUACCGCAUACGAUCUAAUCUCGGCAUCGAGGAAAGAUGAAAGGUGGCCUCUAUUUAUAAGCUAUCACUGAAGGAGGGGAUUGGGUCUGAUUAGCUAGUUGGAGGGGUAACGGCCCACCAAGGCGAUGAUCAGUAGCCGGUCUGAGAGGAUGAACGGCCACAUUGGGACUGAGACACGGCCCAGACUCCUACGGGAGGCAGCAGUGGGGAAUCUUCCGCAAUGGACGAAAGUCUGACGGAGCAACGCCGCGUGAGUGAUGACGGCCUUCGGGUUGUAAAGCUCUGUUAAUCGGGACGAAAGGCCUUCUUGCGAACAGUUAGAAGGAUUGACGGUACCGGAAUAGAAAGCCACGGCUAACUACGUG
RNAcentral lists this ribosomal RNA (510 nucleotides) under uncultured bacterium. RNAcentral describes it as "partial 16S ribosomal RNA". It matches the Rfam family "Bacterial small subunit ribosomal RNA", at positions 28 to 507 of the family's 1533-position model. The record is from RNAcentral.